GUUCAAGCCGCCGCGGUAACACGAACCGUACGAACGUUAUUCGGAAUUACUGGGCUUAAAGGGUUUGUAGGCGGCCUUGUAAGUCAGGUGUGAAAGCCCUCGGCUCAACCGAGGAACAGCGCUUGAUACUGCAAGGCUUGAGGGAGACAGGGGUAAGCGGAACUGAUGGUGGAGCGGUGAAAUGCGUUGAUAUCAUCAGGAACACCGGUGGCGAAAGCGGCUUACUGGGUCUCUUCUGACGCUGAGGAACGAAAGCUAGGGUAGCGAACGGGAUUAGAAACCCUUGUAGUCC
RNAcentral lists this ribosomal RNA (292 nucleotides) under uncultured bacterium. RNAcentral's name for it is "partial 16S ribosomal RNA". It matches the Rfam family "Bacterial small subunit ribosomal RNA", at positions 505 to 796 of the family's 1533-position model. The record is from RNAcentral.